This 556-nucleotide ribosomal RNA is filed under the name bacterium Skdkislt2. Its description in RNAcentral is "bacterial SSU rRNA". It matches the Rfam family "Bacterial small subunit ribosomal RNA", at positions 512 to 1065 of the family's 1533-position model. The record is from RNAcentral.
CAGCCGCGGUAAUACGCCAGGGUGCGAGCUGUUAAUCGAAAUUACUGGGCGUAAAGCGCAUGCAGGUGGUGUGUUAAGUCAGAUGUGAAAGCCCGGGGCUCAACCUCGGAAUUGCAUUUGAAACUGACAGACUAGAGUACUGUAGAGGGGGGUACAAUUUCAGGUGUAGCGGUUAAAUGCGUAGAGAUCUGAAGGAAUUCCGGUGGCGAAGUCGGCCCCCUGAACAGAUGCUCACGCUCACAUCCUAAAGCGUGGGGAGCAAACAGGAUUAGAUACCCUGGUAGUCCACUCCGUAAACGAUGUCUACUUGGAGGUUGUGGCCUUGAGCCGUGGCUUUCGGAGCUAACGCGUUAAGUAGACCGCCUGGGGAGUACGGUCGCAAGAUUAAAACUCAAAUGAAUUGACGGGGGCCCGCACAAGCGCUGGAGCAUGUGGUUUAAUUCGAUGCAACGCGAAGAACCUUACCUACUCUUGACAUCCAGAGAACUUAGCAGAGAUGCUUUGGUGCCUUCGGGAACUCUGAGACAGGUGCUGCAUGGCUGUCGUCAGCUCGUGU